Molecule: ribosomal RNA, 253 nt
Filed under: uncultured bacterium
Lineage: Bacteria
Description: partial 16S ribosomal RNA
Rfam family: Bacterial small subunit ribosomal RNA
Source: RNAcentral
UACAGAGGGUGCGAGCGUUAAUCGGAAUUACUGGGCGUAAAGCGUGCGUAGACGGUUAUUUAAGUCGGGUGUGAAAGCCCCGGGCUCAACCUGGGAAUUGCAUUCGAGACUGAAUAGCUAGGGUACGGUAGAGGGAAGUGGAAUUUCCGGUGUAGCGGUGAAAUGCGUAGAUAUCGGAAGGAACAUCAGUGGUGAAAGCGACUUCCUGGACCAGUACCGACGUUCAGGCACGAAAGCGUGGGGAGCAAACAGG